Molecule: ribosomal RNA, 517 nt
Filed under: Candidozyma chanthaburiensis
Lineage: Eukaryota; Fungi; Ascomycota; Pichiomycetes; Serinales; Metschnikowiaceae
Description: eukaryotic LSU rRNA
Rfam family: Eukaryotic large subunit ribosomal RNA
Source: RNAcentral
AAACCAACAGGGAUUGCCUCAGUAACGGCGAGUGAAGCGGCAAGAGCUCAACUUUGGAAUCGCUCCGGCGAGUUGUAGUCUGGAGGCCAUCAGCCCCCGGCUCCGUGUGCGCGGCUAAGUCCUCUGGAACGAGGCGCCAGCGAGGGUGACAGCCCCGUGGCCGCAAGCAGCAGGAGUCGGCCUUGGUGUGCCGACGAGUCGAGUUGUUUGGGAAUGCAGCUCUAAGUGGGUGGUAAAUUCCAUCUAAAGCUAAAUACCGGCGAGAGACCGAUAGCGAACAAGUACAGUAAUGGAAAGAUGAAAAGCACUUUGAAAAGAGAGUGAAACAGUACGUGAAAUUGUUGAAAGGGAAGGGCUUGCAGGUAGACUACUGUCAGCAUCAGGUGGGGGGGAAUUACAAAGACCUUUUAAUGUGGCAACCCGCUUCUGCGGGUUGUGUUAUAGAAUUGGUUAAUGAUUCCUCCCCCGCCUGAGGAUCGCCUUUUUGAAGGAUGCUGGCGCAAUGGCUGCAAGCCAC